This 109-nucleotide ribosomal RNA is filed under the name Castor canadensis (American beaver). The record is from RNAcentral. Lineage: Eukaryota; Metazoa; Chordata; Mammalia; Rodentia; Castoridae.
GUCUAUGGCCAUACCACCUUGAACAUGCCCAAUCUUGUCUGAUCUGAGAAGCUAAACAGGGUCGGGCCUGGUUAGUACUUGGAUGGGAGACAGAUGUUCAGAAGAGACU